GGGGAAUUUUAGACAAUGGGCGCAAGCCUGAUCCAGCAAUGCCGCGUGCAGGAUGAAGGCCUGCGGGUUGUAAACUUCUUUUAUACGGGAAUAAAGUGCCCCACGUGUAGGCCAUUGCAAGUACUGUAUGAAUAAGCAUCGGCUAACUCCGUGCCAGCAGCCGCGGUAAUACGGAGGAUGCGAGCGUUAUCCGGAUUUAUUGGGUUUAAAGGGUGCGCAGGCGGGCUUUUAAGUCAGCGGUGAAAUCUGGACGCUUAACGUCCAAACUGCCGUUGAAACUGGGAGUCUUGAGUAUGGAUGAAGUAGGCGGAAUUCGUUGUGUAGCGGUGACAUGCAUAGAUAUAACGAGGAACUCCGAUUGCGUAGGCAGCUUACUAAGCCAUAACUGACGCUCAUGCACGAAAGCGUGGGGAUCAAACA
This 420-nucleotide ribosomal RNA is filed under the name uncultured Dysgonomonas sp. RNAcentral's name for it is "bacterial SSU rRNA". It matches the Rfam family "Bacterial small subunit ribosomal RNA", at positions 356 to 774 of the family's 1533-position model. Lineage: Bacteria; Pseudomonadati; Bacteroidota; Bacteroidia; Bacteroidales; Dysgonomonadaceae. The record is from RNAcentral.